This 500-nucleotide ribosomal RNA is filed under the name uncultured bacterium. RNAcentral describes it as "partial 16S ribosomal RNA". It matches the Rfam family "Bacterial small subunit ribosomal RNA", at positions 30 to 523 of the family's 1533-position model. The record is from RNAcentral.
AUUGAACGCUGGCGGAAUGCUUUACACAUGCAAGUCGAACGGCAGCACGGACUUCGGUCUGGUGGCGAGUGGCGAACGGGUGAGUAAUGUAUCGGAACGUGCCCAGUCGUGGGGGAUAACGCAGUGAAAAUUACGCUAAUACCGCAUACGAUCUAUGGAUGAAAGCGGGGGAUCGCAAGACCUCGCGCGAUUGGAGCGGCCGAUAUCAGAUUAGGUAGUUGGUGGGGUAAAGGCCCACCAAGCCAACGAUCUGUAGCUGGUCUGAGAGGACGCCCAGCCACACUGGAACCGCGACACGGUCCAGACUCCUACGGGAGGCAGCAGUGGGGAAUUUUGGACAAUGGGCGAAAGCCUGAUCCAGCCAUUCCGCGUGCAGGAUGAAGGCCCUCGGGUUGUAAACUGCUUUUGUACAGAACGAAAAGGUUUCUACUAAUACUAGGAGCUCAUGACGGUACUGUAAGAAUAAGCACCGGCUAACUACGUGCCAGCAGCCGCCGUAA